Molecule: ribosomal RNA, 492 nt
Filed under: uncultured bacterium
Lineage: Bacteria
Description: partial 16S ribosomal RNA
Rfam family: Bacterial small subunit ribosomal RNA
Source: RNAcentral
AGUGAACGCUGGCGGUAGGCCUAACACAUGCAAGUCGAACGGCAGCACAGUAAGAGCUUGCUCUUACGGGUGGCGAGUGGCGGAUGGGUGAGGAAUACAUCGGAAUCUACUUUUUCGUGGGGGAUAACGUGGGGAAACUUACGCUAAUACAGCAUACGACCUACGGGUGAAAGCAGGGGAUAUUCGGACUUUGCGCGAUUGAAUGAGCCGAUGUCGGAUUAGCUAGUUGGCGGGGUAAAGGCCCACCAAGGCGACGAUCCGUAGCUGGUCUGAGAGGAUGAUCAGCCACACUGGAACUGAGACACGGUCCAGACUCCUACGGGAGGCAGCAGUAGGGAAUAUUGGACAAUGGGCGCAAGCCUGAUCCAGCCAUACCGCGUGGGUGAAGAAGGCCUUCGGGUUGUAAAGCCCUUUUGUUGGGAAAGAAAAGCAGCAGAUUAAUACCCCGCUGUUCUGACGGUACCCAAAGAAUAAGCACCGGCUAACUUCGUG